AGAAGACCUUAAUUAAUCACAGCGCCCUCGUUAGAGCCCACUGUGAUCCCGGCGCUCGUUAGUCCCGCGGGUGAUUAAUUGAAAUUAAUUGAAAAGCCGGUGACAUUUACCAGCGUGCUUGAGCGGAAGUAUCGAGAGAUAAUCUCGCAGUCGUGAUUUUGGAGGUAAAUCUGCGGCUGUGGGUCUGAUUGAGGUCACCGUCAGCGGCUUCAAACUCACUGAACAGAAACACUUACUGCUCCGAGUACCGUGGUAAUGCUGUUUUACUAGAUAGACUGACUGCUGAUGGAAAAGCUCAAAUGAGUUCUGCUAGAAGUCAUGAUGUGAGCUGCUGUCAGACUACUGAAAAAUAAAGAGACUCUGAUGAUGAUCCUUCAGCUUCCUGUCGCCGUGGUAGCAACAGUCCUCUUUGCAUACGAUCGGUCUGUUGCCAUGGCAGCCGUGAUGAGCCGGGAGGAACCGUGGCGACCCCAGCGAGAGACCGUCUGUAUCUGUUACCAUGGAGCCCAGCAACAAAGUACAAGUCAAGCAUCACGGUUACUGUUGCUACAGUGAUUUGGAACGAACCUCAGACAUUAAAUACUACACAGUUUGUAUCAUUUGUGUUAUUAUCAUGAACUAAAACUAUAAAAAUGUUUGUAAAUUAAAAUUAUUUUUAUCCUAAUUAACUAAAUAAAU
RNAcentral lists this long non-coding RNA (678 nucleotides) under Sinocyclocheilus anshuiensis. Its description in RNAcentral is "lncRNA (ENSSANG00000006055.1)". Lineage: Eukaryota; Metazoa; Chordata; Actinopteri; Cypriniformes; Cyprinidae. The record is from RNAcentral.